GAUGAACGCUGACAGAAUGCUUAACACAUGCAAGUCAACUUGAAUUUGGGUUUUUAACUUAGAUUUGGGUGGCGGACGGGUGAGUAACGCGUAAAGAACUUGCCUCACAGCUAGGGACAACAUUUAGAAAUGAAUGCUAAUACCUGAUAUUAUGAUUUUAAGGCAUCUUAGAAUUAUGAAAGCUAUAAGCACUGUGAGAGAGCUUUGCGUCUCAUUAGCUAGUUGGAGAGGUAACAGCUCACCAAGGCGAUGAUGGGUAGCCGGCCUGAGAGGGUGAACGGCCACAAGGGGACUGAGACACGGCCCUUACUCCUACGGGAGGCAGCAGUGGGGAAUAUUGGACAAUGGACCGAGAGUCUGAUCCAGCAAUUCUGUGUGCACGAUGAAGUUUUUCGGAAUGUAAAGUGCUUUCAGUUGGGAAGAAAUAAAUGACGGUACCAACAGAAGAAGUGACGGCUAAAUACGUGCCAGCGGCCGCGGUAAUACGUAUGUCACGAGCGUUAUCCGGAUUUAUUGGGCGUAAAGCGCGUCUAGGUGGUUAUGUAAGUCUGAUGUGAAAAUGCAGGGCUCAACUCUGUAUUGCGUUGGAAACUGUAUAACUAGAGUACUGGAGAGGUAAGCGGAACUACAAGUGUAGAGGUGAAAUUCGUAGAUAUUUGUAGGAAUGCCGAUGGGGAAGCCAGCUUACUGGACAGAUACUGACGCUAAAGCGCGAAAGCGUGGGUAGCAAACAGG
RNAcentral lists this ribosomal RNA (735 nucleotides) under uncultured Fusobacterium sp. RNAcentral describes it as "bacterial SSU rRNA". It matches the Rfam family "Bacterial small subunit ribosomal RNA", at positions 28 to 776 of the family's 1533-position model. The record is from RNAcentral. Lineage: Bacteria; Fusobacteriati; Fusobacteriota; Fusobacteriia; Fusobacteriales; Fusobacteriaceae.